RNAcentral lists this ribosomal RNA (840 nucleotides) under fungal sp. RNAcentral's name for it is "partial large subunit ribosomal RNA". It matches the Rfam family "Eukaryotic large subunit ribosomal RNA", at positions 81 to 952 of the family's 3401-position model. Lineage: Eukaryota; Fungi. The record is from RNAcentral.
CAGUAACGGCGAGUGAAGCGGCAACAGCUCAAAUUUGAAAUCUGGCCCCCAGGGCCCGAGUUGUAAUUUGCAGAGGAUGCUUUUGGCGCGGUGCCUUCCGAGUUCCCUGGAACGGGACGCCAUAGAGGGUGAGAGCCCCGUCUGGUCGGACACCAAGCCAGUGUAAAGCUCCUUCGACGAGUCGAGUAGUUUGGGAAUGCUGCUCUAAAUGGGAGGUAUAUGUCUUCUAAAGCUAAAUACCGGCCAGAGACCGAUAGCGCACAAGUAGAGUGAUCGAAAGAUGAAAAGCACUUUGAAAAGAGGGUUAAACAGUACGUGAAAUUGUUGAAAGGGAAGCGUUUAUGACCAGACUUGGGCCCGGUGAAUCAUCCAGCGUUCUCGCUGGUGCACUUUGCCGGGCUCAGGCCAGCAUCAGUUCGUCGCGGGGGAUAAAAGCUUCGGGAACGUGGCUCCCUCGGGAGUGUUAUAGCCCGUUGCAUAAUACCCUGCGGUGGACUGAGGUUCGCGCUCCGCAAGGAUGCUGGCGUAAUGGUCAUCAGCGACCCGUCUUGAAACACGGACCAAGGAGUCGUCUUCGUAUGCGAGUGUUCGGGUGUAAAACCCCUACGCGUAAUGAAAGUGAACGCAGGUGAGAGCUUCGGCGCAUCAUCGACCGAUCCUGAUGUUCUCGGAUGGAUUUGAGUAAGAGCAUACGGGGCCGGACCCGAAAGAAGGUGAACUAUGCCUGUAUAGGGUGAAGCCAGAGGAAACUCUGGUGGAGGCUCGCAGCGGUUCUGACGUGCAAAUCGAUCGUCAAAUAUGGGCAUGGGGGCGAAAGACUAAUCGAACCUUCUAGUAGCU